Molecule: long non-coding RNA, 123 nt
Organism: Sander lucioperca (pikeperch)
Lineage: Eukaryota; Metazoa; Chordata; Actinopteri; Perciformes; Percidae
Exons: 3
Source: RefSeq, a predicted model, not a curated record
AUUUUUCAUGUUUGUGUCACAGUGUUUCCUCUAUGUUGAUUUGACCGUGACGGCCCCCGACGGCAACAUUUCUGCCCCCCACGGUAUCAGAAAUAGGGCUGCAUUGUUAGAGUGCAUGUCGGA